RNAcentral lists this ribosomal RNA (547 nucleotides) under uncultured bacterium. RNAcentral's name for it is "bacterial SSU rRNA". It matches the Rfam family "Bacterial small subunit ribosomal RNA", at positions 777 to 1335 of the family's 1533-position model. The record is from RNAcentral.
AAUAGAUACCCUGGUAGUCCACGCCGUAAACGAUGAGUACUAGGGGUUGGGGGUAUCGACCCCCUCAGUCUCGAAGCUAACGCGAUGAGUACUCCGCCUGGGGACUACGGCCGCAAGGCUAAAACUCAAAGGAAUUGACGGGGGCCCGCACAAGCAGCGGAGCGUGUGGUUUAAUUCGAUGAUACGCGAAGAACCUUACCUGGGCUUGACAUGCACGUGGUACUGAUUCGAAAGAUGAGGGACCCUUCGGGGAGCGUGCACAGGUGUUGCACGGCCGUCGUCAGCUCGUGCCGUGAGGUGUUGGGUUAAGUCUCGCAACGAGCGCAACCCCCGUCGCCAGUUGUACUUUUCUGGCGAGACUGCCGGGAAACCCCCGGAGGAAGGAGGGGAUGAUGUCAGGUCAGCGUGGCCCUUACGGUCCAGGGCUACACACACGCUACAAUGGGUGGUACAGAGGGUCGCGAAGCCGCGAGGUGGAGCUAAUCCCACAAAGCCAUCCCCAGUUCGGAUUGCAGGCUGAAACUCGCCUGCAUGAAGCCGGAGUUGC